ACUGUGGAUUUUCUCAAAUCCACAAUCAGUUUAAAGAAACAGUGU
Xiphophorus maculatus (southern platyfish) is the source of this 45-nucleotide non-coding RNA. The record is from Rfam. NCBI's taxonomy places the organism in Eukaryota, Metazoa, Chordata, Actinopteri, Cyprinodontiformes, Poeciliidae.